CCCGGCCCGGCCCCCCGCCGCCCCGCACCUGGCUUCACGUCGCAGCCUGGCUGCUUCCCUUUACACAGAAAAAGUGUACCAGAUAUAUCACUUAUGACUGGACGGCCAAGUGGUUUGCAGCAGCAAAAGCUCCAGAUGCACAGAGGGAUGAUAUCCCCAAGCUGACUUCUGUGAGGCUUGGUGGUCCGCCAGGUUGCAGGGCUCCUGCCUGGCCCAUGGAAACCUGAAAGCCUCACCGGACAAGAUCUACAUGGAACUCCUGGUAGUCUCAAGACUCUCUGCCUGGACCUUCAGCUAAUGUAGGCUCUCUGGUCAACUACUUAGGUUGACCAAGUUUUCCUGUGGUGUCCAGUACCUCUACCAUGAAGGGUGAUGGAAUAAACAGAGAUAAACCUUCAGGAGCUGUCCCUCCAGGACGUACUCAGCAGGAGAGUGUCCUGAGAAGAGAGUAGAGAAGAAACAGAUGUUUAAAGCAGUCAUCUAUCUGGAGUGACCGAGUUGCACCAGGCAGCUGACUGAGCCCUCAGGAUCCUGUAAUUUAGGUGGUUCUACAACUACUCCUGACCUUGCUUCAUCUUUUAUAUCAAAGGGAAUAUAUACGAGCAGAAUUCUCUCAUCCAGAGCAGUCUAACAGUGGUUAGCUGUGCAUGCAAACUUUCUCAUAUAAAAAGCCAGGCGAAGUACAACUCAUAAAAUUCAAUGUAAAAAUGAUUAUAACAAAGGUUCAAAGAUUAGUGGUUUCUGUUUGGAUAUAGAUCCACUAGAGACAAUGGUGUAACUGCAGAGCACAUAUAUGUACCUGACGUACCUUUAGGGCAAAUGGCAUAAUUACAUCAGCACAGACUUCAUUACAGGGCAGGUGUUUAAUGAACUUCUAAGGAGGGCUUUCCAGAUUAUGCAGAACUCUGUUUUACUGUGGGUAGACUUUGCAUGUCCACAAGAGAUCUCGAUACUGGAUCUCCUGGGUACCAGGUUCAGCCUAGCUGUGGUAGCAUGAGCCUCUGGAUCACCUAACUUUUCUUCUGAAAAAGCACCAUGUAUUUUCUCAGGUACUUUGAUAGAUUUUUCAGCCAAUUUGGAAGCCAGCUGUACCAUGGCUGCGGUAUUCUGGGGACCUGCACCACUGAAUAUAAAACAGUAACUGCCUGCUGUUGGUUUCCACACCUGCACAAGCUCUGUGUGAGCAGCAGAGACAGUCCAUCAUUUGUUUGCAAGAUGGUUUGAUGCAGUGCCUUUUUUUUAACUCUUCACAGCAUUCUUUGGGUUGGCAGUGUUCACUAACACAACUCAGGAGUGGCUCAAGUGAGGAGGCCCCUACAUCUACUCCGUGUGUAGCUUGGAGGCAUGACCUCAGACUUUGUGAUGAUUCAAAUUCAUACACAGGACCAGUUGCUGGUCUACUACCCCAUGUCAGCCAGGCGCAGGUACCCUUGUGGAGAUGUCCGUCCAGAAAAAAAGCUUAUGUAUUAGGUUCCUCUGAAAAUGACCUCCACUGCAAACACCAAAACUGAACACAGUAAGAUGGGGAUAAUUGCUUGCAAACUGCCUUGCUGCUCUGAACCAGCGCACGAACCCCGAAGAAACCUAACGUCAGGUUUCAUCGUGUCGC
RNAcentral lists this long non-coding RNA (1609 nucleotides) under Gallus gallus (chicken). Its description in RNAcentral is "lncRNA (ENSGALG00010006586.1)". The record is from RNAcentral. Lineage: Eukaryota; Metazoa; Chordata; Aves; Galliformes; Phasianidae.